RNAcentral lists this non-coding RNA (1008 nucleotides) under Hirsutella minnesotensis 3608. RNAcentral describes it as "Eukaryotic small subunit ribosomal RNA". It matches the Rfam family "Eukaryotic small subunit ribosomal RNA", at positions 1 to 1041 of the family's 1831-position model. Lineage: Eukaryota; Fungi; Ascomycota; Sordariomycetes; Hypocreales; Ophiocordycipitaceae. The record is from Rfam by way of RNAcentral.
UACCUGGUUGAUUCUGCCAGUAGUCAUAUGCUUGUCUCAAAGAUUAAGCCAUGCAUGUCUAAGUAUAAGCAAUUAUACAGCGAAACUGCGAAUGGCUCAUUAUAUAAGUUAUCGUUUAUUUGAUAGUACCUUACUACUUGGAUAACCGUGGUAAUUCUAGAGCUAAUACAUGCUGAAAAUCCCGACUUCGGAAGGGAUGUAUUUAUUAGAUUCAAAACCAAUGCCCUCUGGGCUCACUGGUGAUUCAUGAUAACUCUUCGAAUCGCAUGGCCUUGCGCCGGCGAUGGUUCAUUCAAAUUUCUUCCCUAUCAACUUUCGAUGUUUGGGUAGUGGCCAAACAUGGUUGCAACGGGUAACGGAGGGUUAGGGCUCGACCCCGGAGAAGGAGCCUGAGAAACGGCUACUACAUCCAAGGAAGGCAGCAGGCGCGCAAAUUACCCAAUCCCGACACGGGGAGGUAGUGACGAUAAAUACCGAUACAGGGCUCUUUUGGGUCCUGUAAUUGGAAUGAGUACAAUUUAAAUCCCUUAACGAGGAACAAUUGGAGGGCAAGUCUGGUGCCAGCAGCCGCGGUAAUUCCAGCUCCAAUAGCGUAUAUUAAAGUUGUUGUGGUUAAAAAGCUCGUAGUUGAACCUUGGGCCUGGCUGGCCGGUCCGCCUCACCGCGUGUACUGGUCCGGCCGGGCCUUUCCCUCUGUGGAACCCCAUGCCCUUCACUGGGUGUGGCGGGGAAACAGGACUUUUACUUUGAAAAAAUUAGAGUGCUCCAGGCAGGCCUAUGCUCGAAUUGGAAUAGGACGCGUGGUCUUAUUUCGUUGGUUUCUAGGCCCGCCGUAAUGAUUAAUAGGGACAGUCGGGGGCAUCAGUAUUCAAUCGUCAGAGGUGAAAUUCUUGGAUCGAUUGAAGACUAACUACUGCGAAAGCAUUUGCCAAGGAUGUUUUCAUUUGCUGGAGGUGGGAAGGCCAGCCACCGUAGCACCUGUACCGGUAGGGCCUGCCUAUAUUAAUA